UUUUAUUUUAUCCGGGUCUUACAUAAUUGGAACGAUACAGAGAAGAUUAGCAUGGCUCCUGCGCAAGGAUGACACGCACAAAUCGAGAAAUGUCCAAAUUUUUC
RNAcentral lists this small nuclear RNA (104 nucleotides) under Vigna radiata var. radiata (mung bean). The record is from RNAcentral. Lineage: Eukaryota; Viridiplantae; Streptophyta; Magnoliopsida; Fabales; Fabaceae.